This 21-nucleotide non-coding RNA is filed under the name Caenorhabditis elegans. The record is from RNAcentral. Lineage: Eukaryota; Metazoa; Nematoda; Chromadorea; Rhabditida; Rhabditidae.
UUGAAUAUUGAAAAAUUGAAU